Molecule: ribosomal RNA, 465 nt
Filed under: uncultured bacterium
Lineage: Bacteria
Description: partial 16S ribosomal RNA
Rfam family: Bacterial small subunit ribosomal RNA
Source: RNAcentral
CCUACGGGUGGCAGCAGUGGGGAAUAUUGCGCAAUGGGCGAAAGCCUGACGCAGCGACGCCGCGUGAGGGAUGAAGGUCUUCGGAUCGUAAAGCUCUGUCAGCAGGGAAGAACGGUCACUGUGCUAAUCAGCAGUGAAUUGACGGUACCUGCAAAAGAAGCACCGGCUAACUCCGUGCCAGCAGCCGCGGUAAUACGGCGGGUGCGAGCGUUAAUCGGAAUUACUGGGCGUAAAGCGCACGUAGGCGGUAUGUUAAGUCAAAGGUGAAAGCCCCGGGCUGAACGUGGGAAUUGCCUUUCAUACUGGCAAACUGGAGUGUGUGAGAGGAUAGUGGAAUUCCAGGUGUAGGAGUGAAAUCCGUAGAUAUCUGGAGGAAUACCAGUGGCGAAGGCGACUAUCUGGCAAAUAACUGACGCUGAGGAGCGAAAGCGUGGGUAGCAAACAGGAUUAGAUACCCGAGUAGUC